GGAUUAGAUACCCUGGUAGUCCACGCUGUAAACGAUGAUCACUCGUCAUUGGCGACAUACUGUCAGUGACCAAGCGAAAGUGUUUAGUGAUCCACCUGGGGAGUACGUUCGCAAGAAUGAAACUCAAAGGAAUUGACGGGGGCCCGCACAAGCGGUGGAGCAUGUGGUUUAAUUCGAUGAUACGCGAGGAACCUUACCAGGGCUUGAACGCAUUUUGACAGGCUGGGAAACCAGUCCUUCUUCGGACAAUUUGCGAGGUGCUGCAUGGUUGUCGUCAGCUCGUGCCG
RNAcentral lists this ribosomal RNA (287 nucleotides) under uncultured bacterium. RNAcentral describes it as "partial 16S ribosomal RNA". It matches the Rfam family "Bacterial small subunit ribosomal RNA", at positions 775 to 1067 of the family's 1533-position model. The record is from RNAcentral.